Molecule: long non-coding RNA, 831 nt
Organism: Hyla sarda
Lineage: Eukaryota; Metazoa; Chordata; Amphibia; Anura; Hylidae
Exons: 3
Source: RefSeq, a predicted model, not a curated record
CAGCAAGCAGGAAGUGCCUGGAGGAUACAGGAGCCCAGCAGUGUUCUAAGGCAGAGGAUCAGAAUCGUAGUGAGGAGCUAUCUGGGCGUCAAGUUCUGCAAAGAUUUAGCUGGAACAAGUCCCGUGCCAAUCAGAGAGCAGCACUACUGAAAUAGAACUCUCAGGAGGUAACCGCGUGUCACACAUGUGAUGUCAUAGCCAUUGUCCACCAGAGAGCAGCAAUGAGCAGAUAUAACACUGCUCCUGCUCAUUCUUCAUCAGUGAGGGGCUGAUGCUGGACACUGUAGGGACCGAGAAUGCAAAGUCAUAUACACUACUGUGACUGGUAAGUGUCACAUUGUUGUGACCAAAAGGUCUUUAGUGCAGUUCAAUGUGCUUUUCUAUAAUAAACAUGUAAAUAAUCUAUCUUUUGUUUUCCUAUCUUAGAUGCAUUAUUUCCAGGAUGUGGAGUAGCAUUUCCGGCCCUACAGCAAGACGUUGGAUGAAGACGUGGAUUUCCAGACCUAGCAAGAAUUUGGAUGAAGGCACAGCCCCUCGAAUCACGCACAUACACAGACACAUUGGCCCAAAUUCUAGAGGUAACCUCCUUUAGUAUGCCCAGAGGAAGGGCAAUACAGUAGCCAUGGAUUCCCUACAGGUUUUCUCCCCUCUGGAGGUUUUUCCUGUCCUGAGUAUUAGUUACUGUACGCUCUUUGUGAGUGAUGGAGGUUACAUAAAAUCCCUACACAAACAUUUUAAUAUAUAAUAAAUAAAGUUCCCCUUUUUAAACCAUUCUUUAACUUGUUUGACUCAUUUAUUUUAUUUGUGUGUGAAAAAUAGUGUUAGCAAAAC